Long non-coding RNA from Myotis daubentonii (Daubenton's bat), 3498 nucleotides. RefSeq lists it as uncharacterized. The transcript is spliced from 3 exons. The record is from RefSeq and is a predicted model, not a curated record. NCBI's taxonomy places the organism in Eukaryota, Metazoa, Chordata, Mammalia, Chiroptera, Vespertilionidae.
AGAAGGAUGCUUCUCUCCCUAGGGCAGGCCUGUGAGCCACCAGACCUUCGCUCCUAACAUUGCCCCACAGAGAUCUGGCUUUGGGGCUUGUUGAGGAAAUGAAUUGGCUCACUACCUCCUUGCAGCCGGUAGGGUAAGAUACUGGUGCCUCGUUUUGCCAGAAAAGAAGAGGAAGAAAUUAAGAAAUGGGGCCUGGCCGGCAUGGCUCAGUGGUUGAGCAUCGACCUAUGAGCCAGGAGGUCAUGGUUUGAUUCCCGGUCAGGGCACAUGCCAGGGUUGCAGGCCGGAUCCCCAAUGUGGGGCAUGCAGGAGGCAGCCGAUCAUUGCUUCUCCGCCAUCAUUGAUGUUUCUAACUCUCCCUCUCCCUUCCUCUCUGAAAAAAAAAAAAGAAAGAAAGAAAGAUAGAAAAAUGUGGCCAACAGAUCCAGGAGCAACCACAGAGCUUUACUGCCCACUUUAGGGUGGCGGUCGGUAGGCCAAACUAUGAAGGUUGCUGAUGUCUUUCCAUCCCUCCUCCCUUGGGUAGGGCAGUUAAGACCAUCUCGCUCUUGUGGGAAAUUUAGAGCCUGGAAGGUUAUUAAAAACAUGAUGAUUUAAAAAAAAAAUCACAUUAAAUGUCUCAUUUUGCGUAUUCUUUACAGUUUUCAUUCUCUAUCGGCUGGAUGAGACUGCCUAACCACACCCGGUCAUUCUGGGCUGCCUGUUCUAAUGAGCUGUUUGCUCAGGCCGGUGAGAUUUCUGACACUGACUUAGCAAAGCAGAGCCCUUUCCCCAAGGACUUCCGGAUCUCUCGCAGCAAGUGGUCCUGGUUAGAGCCCUGGUUUCAGGAGCUAGGGGUUCAUUCUCCCAAGGAAGGUUCUCUCUCAGAGACCUGGGGUCACAUUAGGAAAAACUUUUUUUUUUUAAUUGAUUUUUAGAGAGAGGGAAAGACAGAGAGAAAUAUCGAUGUGAGAGAAAUACAGUGAUUGGUUGCCUCCUGCAUACACCCUGACCAGGGCCCAGGCCGGGGAGGAGCCUGUAACCGAGGUACAUGCCCUUGACCGGAUCGAACCCAGGACCCUUUGGUCUGCAGGCCGACACUCUAUCCACUGAGCCAAACAGGCUAGGGCAGGAAAAACAUUUUGAAUCUAGGGCUUGCUUUGGAUCUGAUGAGUUGGUCUGAGAAGUGACAGAAGAGUCACUAUUGCACGCAAAGGACCAACAACAUCUUCGGGCCUGACUGCCAACAGCCACCAUGGCCCAUGCCUGUCACUACAGGCCAAGCAAGGAGAAAGGAGGGCAUAGAAGGAGGCAGGUGGAAAGAGAGAGGAGCCAGCCAGUGCAAAAGCAGACCCACGGUAGCGAGAGUUCAAACACCAGCUUCUAGAAGAAGCAGAGGCAGACACAGAUUUCAUUGAUGCCGGCCCAAGAACUGUAGAGGAUCCAGUGGGAAAGUUUGGAGUGAGGAGUGGCGACAUGGGAAUAAGAGUUUGCGCGUUGACAGGUGUCUUAGGUCUGGAUCCCUUGAAGUAAAGCCUGUGAGAGAGGUGAGUAAUCUCUGGUUGGGUGAGGAAGGGGGAGGAGGAUGCGAGGAGCGGGCAGGAGCUCUGCAGACUCCCCUGAAACCCUGCUGCAGGGAGAGCUAGGCUUAGAGGGGUAGCUUAGACACAGCAAGUAUUAAGGCACUAUUUUCAAGCUAAUCUUUUUUUUUUUUUUUAAAGCCAUUGUGAAUGUAACCUAGAUAUAAAAUACAUUAAACAACUAUUUAGGGAAAUCUUUAUUUUAAAUAUCGCAGAAGCUUUGUGUUAAUAGAACCCCUCCCCCAAUUUUCAUGAACAUUAAAACAUUUACUAGUCUCAAAACAUGCAUAAUGACAGCGUUUUAAUCAUUCGCUUUCUACAUGCUUUUUAGAUCCUCUAACAUUAAUUUAAAUGACACCAAAUCAAUGAAAACUUAAAAACGUAUGUGUUGGGCUUAUUUUGCAGUUCGUGUCUAGAAAAUAAUACAUUUCCAUGUAUUAAUAUAUUUGUAAUAAAUGUAUUAAUCCACCUGUAUUAAUAUUACCCAUUUUGGGGUUGCUGUUAAGUAAAUGUUCUUGGAUUAUUACAUAGAUGUGGAUAACACAAUCCCAAUGCUGAGACGGAGGUUAUUUUACAUAGUUAAAAAUAGAAAAGCUAUCUUGUAAUAGAUUAGAAAAGAAUCUAUAAACAUAUACAGUCUCUGGCUUUUAUUCUGUUGUGUUUUGCUUUGGCUACAUGCAGAAGGCAUUUCAUUCCCAUUGUUCUAGAUUUCAUCUGACACAUGGGUAGGUGUUCCAUUUGGUACCUUCAGGUCUUGGUUUUACCCAAUAUGGAGACGAAGGUCUUUCAUUUUGCUGUGCUGCCUUUAUAGCUACUUAGACUAUUAUUUUUCCAAAGCUUGUGCUGAAAAGAGGUGGCAGGGUAGAAAACAUGUUGCAGGAAUUCUUUUUAUCCUCGGGUAAAACACCACCACCAACUUUUCACUUGUAAAGAAGUUCAGGAUCCCUCUUAUGACACACACAAACACUCAGACUCUCAGAGUCUCAAAAUACAGGAAACCGCUGGAGAUGGUAUUGCAGGAGCUUCGAACGCUGCCUCAGUCGCACAUUGACUUCCGUGCAAGACAAACCACAGGUGUUAUUCAUCUUCUGGCCUCUAGGCUUCAGCGCACCUCAAAGCACCCCAAAUGGUUCUCAAGCUUGAGUUGCAUUUAAAUCACCCGGAGGGCUAGUUAAAACACAGAGCCAGGCCCACCCCCAGGGUUCCCGCUUCAUGGGUCUGGGCUGGCACCAGAAAAUUUGCAGCUCCAGCAUGAUUCCAGGAGAAGUGGAUGCCUCUGGUCCAAGGACCACGCUCUGAGAACUGCUGUCAUAAACAGUUCUUGCUGAGCCACCAGAAGAUGAUCUAGAUGCUAUGAAAUGGGUGGCUCUACAGCCAGAUGAAUCCAUCCUGGGCUCACGCUGUUUCCAUGGAGCUCACAAUUGUCACCACAGAGUGAAGACCAGGUGGGCACAGGUCAUUUCCCAUUUUCAGUUCCUAUGUCUCGCCAUCAAGGAGGUAUCCACACCUGAUAUCCUCGUCCUUAGCCCUCUUAAAACUUGUCCCCCUCCCAUGUCAUUCCCUCUUACUGGAGUUCAGAGAAAUGGUUAAUCCGGAGAGAGGAAACGAAGGACUGAGCUCUGUUAGUCCUGGCAAAAAUUCUAAGACAUUCCUAGGCACAGACCGGUCAAGGACAACUACGCCAUUUCCGAGCGGAAACAGUGCUUACCGGUACAAAGCUGACCUUAUUUUUUAAAAAACGAUGGGCUGUCCCACAGAACGGAGGGAACAGCGGUGGAUGUGUGUCCGGCCACUCCUCACCUUGCCCUCCCCGAUCCCCAACAAAAUGUCAGUCUUAACUUCUCUCCAAUUUCAACAAACAAUUAGAAAGAAGUCUCAAAGCUUCCAGACUAUGUCCUGGUUCUUAGCUCAUUUGCCCUCAGCAACAUCACAUUAAAAG